GGGAAGGAAAGAAGGGGUGAAAGAAAAGGGAAAGGGAGGGUAUUCCGGAAAGUAUGCCUGUUUGAGGGUCAGUUAAAUAAAAAUCGGUGUUGUUGCUGCUUUUCGUGGUGACGCGUCGGAAUUGAGUUGUCUUACCUUCGGUUAAGUGACUUAAAAUUUUGCAUGAUUUUCGAACGUAUUGAAAUUUCUUACGUACGUUUGAGAUAUCGAAUACUUUAUUAGGUUCGGUCAUCCUCAUGAUUCGCACCUAUAAUUUUUCAUUAAAUGACCUCAAAUCAGGUAAGAAUACCCGCUGAACUUA
Molecule: unclassified non-coding RNA, 301 nt
Filed under: Glomus sp.
Lineage: Eukaryota; Fungi; Glomeromycota; Glomeromycetes; Glomerales; Glomeraceae
Description: partial contains 5.8S ribosomal RNA, internal transcribed spacer 2, and large subunit ribosomal RNA
Source: RNAcentral